GCGCGAAAACUUUACAAUGCUGGCAACAGCGAUAAGGGAACCUCGAGUGCCAGGUUACAAAUCUGGCUGUCGAGAUGCCUAAAAAAGCAUUUCAUAGCAAGGGCCGGGCAAGACCGGUGCCAGCCGCCGCGGUAACACCGGCGGCUCGAGUGGUAACCGUUAUUAUUGGGUCUAAAGGGUCUGUAGCCGGCCGGAUAAGUCUCUUGAGAAAUCUGGCAGCUUAACUGUCAGGCUUUCAGGAGAUACUGUCUGGCUCGAGGCCGGGAGAGGUGAGAGGUACUUCAGGGGUAGGGUGAAAUCUUGUAAUCCUUGAAGGACCACCAGUGGCGAAGGCGUCUCACCAGAACGGACCUGACGGCAAGGGCGAAAGCUAGGGGCACGAACCGGAUUAGAAACCCCUGU
Molecule: ribosomal RNA, 402 nt
Filed under: uncultured bacterium
Lineage: Bacteria
Description: bacterial SSU rRNA
Rfam family: Archaeal small subunit ribosomal RNA
Source: RNAcentral